CCUACGGGAGGCAGCAGUGGGGGAUAUUGCACAAUGGGGGGAACCCUGAUGCAGCGACGCCGCGUGGGUGAAGAAGCGCCUCGGCGCGUAAAGCCCUGUCAGCAGGGAAGAAAAUGACGGUACCUGAAGAAUAAGCCCCGGCUAACUACGUGCCAGCAGCCGCGGUACUACGUAGGGGGCAAGCGUUAUACGGAUUUACUGGGUGUAAAGGGGGCGCAGACGGCGAUGCAAGCCAGGAGUGAAAGCCCUGGGCCCAACCCGGGGACUGCGCUUGGAACUGCGUGGCUGGAGUGCAGGAGGGGGAGGCGGAAUUCCUGGUGUAGCGGUGAAAUGCGUAGAUAUCAGGAGGAACACCGGUGGCGAAGGCGGCCUGCUGGACAGCAACUGACGUUGAGGCCCGAAAGCGUGGGGAGCAAACAGGAUUAGAUACCCGUGUAGUC
Molecule: ribosomal RNA, 440 nt
Filed under: uncultured bacterium
Lineage: Bacteria
Description: partial 16S ribosomal RNA
Rfam family: Bacterial small subunit ribosomal RNA
Source: RNAcentral